AAACUUUACAAUGCGGGAAACCGUGAUAAGGGGACACCGAGUGCUAGCAUCAUAUGCUGGCUGUCCAGGUGUACACCUGUAGCAAGGGCCGGCAAGACCGGUGCCAGCCGCCGCGGUAAUACCGGCGGCUCGAGUGGUGGCCGAUAUUAUUGAGUCUAAAGGGUCCGUAGCCGGCUUAGUUAGUCUUUUGGGAAAUCCAGCGGCUUAAUCGUUGGGCUCCAUGAGAUACUGCUUUGCUUGGGACUGGGAGAGGUAGGAGGUACUCAAGGGGUAGAGUGAAAUCCUGUAAUCUUUGGGGGACCACCGGUGGCGAAGGCGUCCUACCAGAACAGUCCGACGGUGAGGGACGAAAGCUGGGGGCACGAACCGGAUUAGAUACCCGGGUAGUCCCAGCCGUAAACGAUGCUCGCUAGGUGUCAGGUGGUGCC
This 428-nucleotide ribosomal RNA is filed under the name uncultured archaeon. RNAcentral describes it as "bacterial SSU rRNA". It matches the Rfam family "Archaeal small subunit ribosomal RNA", at positions 345 to 785 of the family's 1478-position model. The record is from RNAcentral.